RNAcentral lists this ribosomal RNA (434 nucleotides) under uncultured Lachnospiraceae bacterium. Its description in RNAcentral is "partial 16S ribosomal RNA". It matches the Rfam family "Bacterial small subunit ribosomal RNA", at positions 341 to 792 of the family's 1533-position model. The record is from RNAcentral. Lineage: Bacteria; Bacillati; Bacillota; Clostridia; Lachnospirales; Lachnospiraceae.
ACGGAAGGCAGCAGUGGGGAAUAUUGCACAAUGGGGGAAACCCUGAUGUAGCGACGCCGCGUGAGUGAAGAAGUUAUUCGUAAUGUAAAGCUCUAUCAGCAGGGAAGAAAAUGACGGUACCUGACUAAGAAGCCCCGGCUAACUACGUGCCAGCAGCCGCGGUAAUACGUAGGGGGCAAGCGUUAUCCGGAUUUACUGGGUGUAAAGGGAGCGCAGACGGCUUUGCAAGUCUGAUGUGAAAGGCAGGGGCUCAACUCCUGGACUGCAUUGGAAACUGUAGGGCUAGAGUGUCGGAGAGGUAAGCGGAAUUCCUAGUGUAGCGGUGAAAUGCGUAGAUAUUAGGAGGAACACCAGUGGCGAAGGCGGCUUACUGGACGAUAACUGACGUUGAGGCUCGAAAGCGUGGGGAGCAAACAGGAUUAGAUACCCUGGUA